AUCAUGAAGCACUGCAGACCAAAUGUGCUAAUCUGCUCUGGAAUGUUGCCUCAGCCCAUCUGAAAAGCCUAUAUUUUUGUUGAAGACAUAACAAAGAGAACUUCUGCUUUCAGAGUCACUGAAGGGCUAGCUCUUUUGCUUUAAAACUGGGAAUCAGAGUAUAUGAGCUAAAGCUAAAUCCCACAGUUGGAGUGCUUUUAAGACUUGGAACAAGUUAAGAUGUAAGUUUUCUUAUUUAUGAAGGAGGUAAAGAAUGGCAGACAAAGGAAUGAUGGGACAAAGAGAAACUGCACUUCUGUAAUUAUAAUUGGCAUGUGAGUCACCCUCGGCACUGGAGGAAAAGAAGCUGCAGAAGGCACAAUAUCUAGCCUGACAUAUGGACAUGGUGGAAAACGGAGACAGCUGACCAUUUCUGCAUUAUACCAGAGUGACGAACCCAACGGACAACAUGAAACCUUUUGCUGAGAAAGGCCUUUGUCAUGCCAUCACCUUAGUGUGAUAUUAUCAAUCUACUGUUGUACUGUGCCAAGAUGCUUCAAUGUGCUUCCAUGAAAGAAGUUUACUGUAAAAUAAAUGUGUUUUAGUUUAUUGUAAAAUAAAUGAGAACCUCUUAAAAGUAAUAAGUGCAGUAUCCAGAUUUGGGCCUGGGUUUAGGCAGAGGCUGUUAACGGAUAGUGCAGAGGGCUUAUUUUAGAGAAGAAUGUGUUUGUUGUAGACAUUGCCUGGAAACAGGUACAUAGAUUUGUGAAGACAUACUGUUUACUGCAAGUUUUAUGCAAACAUGAACCGACAUCCUAGCCAAUGUUCUAUUGGACUGUGUCAUUUGACUAAAAGAUCCCUCAUUCAGUAAAAGAAUAGCUUUGCAGUCUGCAAUGUGAUGCUCUCGUGUUAACUCCAAGAAAAGUAGGGCUAAAUUGAUGUUACCAGUUUCAUUCUGUACCCACGGUAUUAGUUUUGACACUGACUGCAUGCAGGUGGAUUAUAAUGCAUAAUAUUGAUCUAGAGGAUUUUUUUUCCCCUUCAGCUGUACCUUAGCUUCUAGCCUUGAUCUUAAAAGUUAAGAUGGAUGUUCAGUAUUAUCAUCUAACAGAAAGGGUAAAAAAUCAAUUUUAUCUCCUGGUGCUUCAUUCCCUUGUCUUCCAGUGCUUGAGUGGUGGGGUUGUAACAACCGUCAGCAUAAAAUCAUUUAUUAGCUGAUGUUAUGACAACUUCUGGCAGAUGAAUAUAUUACUAUAUGUUGAUGCUCCUGAAAUCAACUUUCUGAUUAAAGAUAUGAAAAGAAUAUGGCAACCAA
Long non-coding RNA from Aquila chrysaetos chrysaetos, 1294 nucleotides. RefSeq lists it as uncharacterized. Lineage: Eukaryota; Metazoa; Chordata; Aves; Accipitriformes; Accipitridae. The record is from RefSeq and is a predicted model, not a curated record. The transcript is spliced from 4 exons.